GGACUACCGGGGUAUCUAAUCCUGUUUGCUCCCCUAGCUUUCGUGCCUCAGUGUCAGGAGUUGUCCAGGGACUCGCCUUCGCCACUGGUGUUCCUCUCGAUAUCUACGCAUUUCACUGCUACACCGAGAAUUCCAGUCCCCCCUCCAACCCUCGAGCAGGAUAGUAUUCAAUGCAGUUUCCGGGUUAAGCCCGGAGAUUUCACAUCAAACUUACCCUGCCACCUACGCACCCUUUACGCCCAGUGAAUCCGAACAACGCUUGGGACCUCUGUAUUACCGCGGCUGCUGGCAC
RNAcentral lists this ribosomal RNA (292 nucleotides) under uncultured Verrucomicrobiota bacterium. Its description in RNAcentral is "uncultured Verrucomicrobia bacterium partial 16S ribosomal RNA". Lineage: Bacteria; Pseudomonadati; Verrucomicrobiota. The record is from RNAcentral.